Molecule: small RNA, 83 nt
Filed under: Marmota monax (woodchuck)
Lineage: Eukaryota; Metazoa; Chordata; Mammalia; Rodentia; Sciuridae
Source: RNAcentral
GCUGGGCGCAGUGGCGCAUGCCUGGAAUCCCAGCUGCUCAGGAGGCUGAGGCAGGAGGAUCUGGAGUUCAAAGCCAGCCUCAG